Molecule: long non-coding RNA, 827 nt
Filed under: Triticum aestivum (bread wheat)
Lineage: Eukaryota; Viridiplantae; Streptophyta; Magnoliopsida; Poales; Poaceae
Description: long non-coding RNA (TAES_LNC010268)
Source: RNAcentral
CGUCUCAAUUGGGGAGUGAGGGGAAUGAAUCAAUCUGGAUAGGUAUUGAGUCCUCUCACGAUCUCAUCCGAAAACAGUGCUAGUUAAUUCCUAUUUUUUUUAUGUUGCAAGUAUUGUUUUAACAUCCGUGUGUUACUGUGUCCAUACACUUGGUUCGAUUUUGUUAUGUCCUGUGUGUAGUUUAUCACCAAAUCAGAGACAAAUAUCUGUGAAUUUUGUAUCAACACGACACAAAUAUGAUGCUUCCAAAUAUCCAUGCUUCUUAUGCAUCAUUCGCAUGCUUCUUUGUUGCAUAGAGUUUGCGCCAACUAGACAUGCUUCUAUUUUUCUAUACUAUUUGUGUUAUCUUGAGAUAGCAUGAAAUUGACGCUUCUUCCAAAUACCACCAGCGCAUGUUAGGCUGCCAUUACAGGUUGGAGAAUCCACUUACCAUAGCGAGACGACGACGGUAAGGUCGCUGGGGUGGCACUAUUAUCAUGCCACCGUGUUGGCAUCUUCUUCGGCGUCGUUGCAUCAAAUGGUGCUCCCAGUCGAUGGGUUCCUUUGUUCAGGCCGGCAUCGUCUCUCAUGCUUCCUACCCUCGAUGCCUCUGGUUCCUCGACGUUGCUGGCUCUACAUAGUUGGAAUGAUGUGCUUCAUUGUCAUAGACGCAAUGCUUCAGAUUUUUGUAUUAAGUUUCAUACUACCUAUGUAUAUGCUUCUAUCAAUUUAGUAUCAGAUAUUUGCUUCUGUAUCAUAUGUGGCAUGGUUUCCAAGUAUGUACAUGUUUGGUUUGUUGUUUACACAACCAUGGUAAAUUAUUAAUGCUUCGGAACUAUUUUGUUCAU